Molecule: ribosomal RNA, 482 nt
Filed under: uncultured bacterium
Lineage: Bacteria
Description: partial 16S ribosomal RNA
Rfam family: Bacterial small subunit ribosomal RNA
Source: RNAcentral
AUUGAACGCUGGCGGCAUGCUUUACACAUGCAAGUCGAACGGUAACAGGCCGCAAGGUGCUGACGAGUGGCGAACGGGUGAGUAAUGCAUCGGAACGUGCCCAGUCGUGGGGGAUAACUACUCGAAAGAGUAGCUAAUACCGCAUACGAUCUAUGGAUGAAAGCGGGGGACCGUAAGGCCUCGCGCGAUUGGAGCGGCCGAUGUCAGAUUAGGUAGUUGGUGGGGUAAAGGCUCACCAAGCCAACGAUCUGUAGCUGGUCUGAGAGGACGACCAGCCACACUGGGACUGAGACACGGCCCAGACUCCUACGGGAGGCAGCAGUGGGGAAUUUUGGACUAUGGGCGCAAGCCUGAUCCAGCAAUGCCGCGUGCAGGAAGAAGGCCUUCGGGUUGUAAACUGCUUUUGUACGGAACGAAACGGCUCUGGUUAAUACCCGGGGCUAAUGACGGUACCGUAAGAAUAAGCACCGGCUAACUACGUG